AGAGUUUGAUCAUGGCUCAGGAUGAACGCUAGCGGCAGGCCUAAUACAUGCAAGUCGAACGAGAUUGAAGAGCUUGCUCUUCAUGAAAGUGGCGCACGGGUGCGUAACACGUAUGCAACCUACCUUCAAUUGGGGGAUAGCCUUCCGAAAGGGAGAUUAACACCGCAUAAAACAGCAGAAUGGCAUCAUUUAACUGUUAAAACUCCGGUGAUUGAAGAUGGGCAUGCGUUGCAUUAGCUAGUUGGUAAGGUAACGGCUUACCAAGGCUACGAUGCAUAGGGGAUCUGAGAGGAUGGUCCCCCACACUGGUACUGAGAUACGGACCAGACUCCUACGGGAGGCAGCAGUAAGGAAUAUUGGUCAAUGGACGCAAGUCUGAACCAGCCAUGCCGCGUGCAGGAUGACGGCCCUAUGGGUUGUAAACUGCUUUUGUCAGGGAAUAAAUCAUUUUACGUGUAAGAUGUUGAAGGUACCUGAAGAAUAAGGAUCGGCUAACUCCGUGCCAGCAGCCGCGGUAAUACGGAGGAUCCAAGCGUUAUCCGGAUUUAUUGGGUUUAAAGGGUGCGUAGGCGGUAAAUUAAGUCAGAGGUGAAAGCCUGCAGCUCAACUGUAGAACUGCCUUUGAUACUGGUUUACUUGAGUACAGAUGAAGUGGGCGGAAUGUGACAAGUAGCGGUGAAAUGCAUAGAUAUGUCACAGAACACCGAUUGCGAAGGCAGCUCACUAAAGUGUAACUGACGCUGAGGCACGAAAGCGUGGGGAUCAAACAGGAUUAGAUACCCUGGUAGUCCACGCCCUAACGAUGAUUACUCGCUGUCGGCGAUAUACAGUCGGCGGCUAAGCGAAAGCGUUAAGUAAUCCACCUGGGGAGUACGGUCGCAAGAUUGAAACUCAAAUGAAUUGACGG
This 907-nucleotide ribosomal RNA is filed under the name uncultured bacterium. Its description in RNAcentral is "bacterial SSU rRNA". It matches the Rfam family "Bacterial small subunit ribosomal RNA", at positions 8 to 916 of the family's 1533-position model. The record is from RNAcentral.